UCCUUAGUACGGCGAGUGACCGGGAAAGCUCAAUUUGUAAUCUGGCUGUCUCUCGUAUAGUCCGAGUUGUAAUCUAUAGACGUGUUUUCCGUGCUGGACCGUAUCUAAGUCCCUUGGAACAGGGUAUCAAAGAGGGUGACAAUCCCGUGCUUGAUACGACCACCAGUGCUCUGUGAUACACGCUCUACGAGUCGAGUUGUUUGGGAAUGCAGCUCAAAAUGGGUGGUAAAUUCCAUCUAAAGCUAAAUAUUGGCGAGAGACCGAUAGCGAACAAGUACCGUGAGGGAAAGAUGAAAAGCACUUUGGAAAGAGAGUUAAACAGUACGUGAAAUUGUUGAAAGGGAAACGAUUGAAGUCAGUCGUGUUCUUUGGAUUCAGCUAGUUCUUCUAGUCUACUUCCAUUGAACGGGUCAACAUCAGUUUUGUCCGGUGGAUAAAGAUAGUAGGAAUGUAGCUCCCCCGGGAGUGUUAUAGACUAUU
RNAcentral lists this ribosomal RNA (480 nucleotides) under Cutaneotrichosporon dermatis. RNAcentral describes it as "eukaryotic LSU rRNA". It matches the Rfam family "Eukaryotic large subunit ribosomal RNA", at positions 77 to 565 of the family's 3401-position model. Lineage: Eukaryota; Fungi; Basidiomycota; Tremellomycetes; Trichosporonales; Trichosporonaceae. The record is from RNAcentral.